RNAcentral lists this ribosomal RNA (460 nucleotides) under uncultured bacterium. RNAcentral's name for it is "partial 16S ribosomal RNA". It matches the Rfam family "Bacterial small subunit ribosomal RNA", at positions 338 to 795 of the family's 1533-position model. The record is from RNAcentral.
CCUACGGGUGGCAGCAGUGAGGAAUAUUGGUCAAUGGCCGAGAGCCUGAACCAGCCAAGUCGCGUGAGGGAUGACGGACCUAUGGGUUGUAAACUUCUUUUAUCUGGGAGUAAAGUGCGGAACGUGUCCCGUCUCGUGUGUACCAUGUGAAUAAGCAUCGGCUAACUCCGUGCCAGCAGCCGCGGUAAUACGGAGGAUGCGAGCGUUAUCCGGAUUUAUUGGGUUUAAAGGGUGCGUAGGUGGUUGAUGAAGUCAGCGGUGAAAGUUUGUGGCUCAACCUUAAUAUUGCCGUUGAAACUGGUUGACUUGAGUAGAUUAGAGGUACGCGGAAUGCGUGGUGUAGCGGUGAAAUGCAUAGAUAUCACGCAGAACUCCGAUUGCGAAGGCAGCUUACUAGACUAUAACUGACACUGAAGCACGAAAGCGUGGGGAUCAAACAGGAUUAGAUACCCGAGUAGUC